Molecule: non-coding RNA, 45 nt
Organism: Schistosoma mansoni
Lineage: Eukaryota; Metazoa; Platyhelminthes; Trematoda; Strigeidida; Schistosomatidae
Source: Rfam
AUCUAGCUGACGAGUCCCAAACUGAACGAAACGCGUGUCCUGGAU